UACGAAGGGGGCUAGCGUUGCUCGGAAUCACUGGGCGUAAAGCGCACGUAGGCGGAUCUUUAAGUCAGGGGUGAAAUCCUGGAGCUCAACUCCAGAACUGCCUUUGAUACUGGGGAUCUCGAGUCCGGAAGAGGUGAGUGGAACUCCGAGUGUAGAGGUGAAAUUCGUAGAUAUUCGCAAGAACACCAGUGGCGAAGGCGGCUCACUGGCCCGGUACUGACGCUGAGGAGCGAAAGCGUGGGGAGCGGACAGG
This 253-nucleotide ribosomal RNA is filed under the name uncultured bacterium. RNAcentral describes it as "partial 16S ribosomal RNA". It matches the Rfam family "Bacterial small subunit ribosomal RNA", at positions 524 to 776 of the family's 1533-position model. The record is from RNAcentral.